UGGGGAAUAUUGGACAAUGGGCGAAAGCCUGAUCCAGCCAUGCCGCGUGUGUGAAGAAGGUCUUCGGAUUGUAAAGCACUUUAAGUUGGGAGGAAGGGCAGUUACCUAAUACGUGAUUGUUUUGACGUUACCGACAGAAUAAGCACCGGCUAACUCUGUGCCAGCAGCCGCGGUAAUACAGAGGGUGCAAGCGUUAAUCGGAAUUACUGGGCGUAAAGCGCGCGUAGGUGGUUAGUUAAGUUGGAUGUGAAAUCCCCGGGCUCAACCUGGGAACUGCAUCCAAAACUGGCAAACUAGAGUACGGUAGAGGGUGGUGGAAUUUCCUGUGUAGCGGUGAAAUGCGUAGAUAUAGGAAGGAACACCAGUGGCGAAGGCGACCACCUGGACUGAUACUGACACUGAGGUGCGAAAGCGUGGGGAGCAAACAGGAUUAGAUACCCAUGUAGUCCCUGAGCGGGCUGGCAAGGCGCAU
This 472-nucleotide ribosomal RNA is filed under the name uncultured bacterium. RNAcentral's name for it is "bacterial SSU rRNA". It matches the Rfam family "Bacterial small subunit ribosomal RNA", at positions 355 to 825 of the family's 1533-position model. The record is from RNAcentral.